AAAGUGGAGCAAUCCAUGAGUAGAGUGGCAAACGGGUGAGUAACGCGUGGGUGACCUGCCUUCGAGUGGGGGAUAACGUUCCGAAAGGGACGCUAAUACCGCAUGACAUCCUGCCUUUGAAGAGGUGGAGAUCAAAGCUGGGGAUCGCAAGACCUAGCACUCGAUGAGGGGCCCGCGUCUGAUUAGCUAGUUGGUGGGGUAACGGCUCACCAAGGCAACGAUCAGUAUCCGGCCUGAGAGGGCGGACGGACACACUGGGACUGAGACACGGCCCAGACUCCUACGGGAGGCAGCAGUGGGGAAUUGUUCGCAAUGGGCGCAAGCCUGACGACGCAACGCCGCGUGGAGGAUGAAGAUCUUCGGGUCGUAAACUCCUUUCGAUCGAGACGAACAGUCUCCGGGUGAACAAUCCGGAGGUUUGACGGUACCGAGAGAAGAAGCCCCGGCUAACUCCGUGCCAGCAGCCGCGGUAAUACGGGGGGGGCAAGCGUUGUUCGGAAUUACUGGGCGUAAAGGGCUCGUAGGCGGCCAACUAAGUCAGACGUGAAAUCCCUCGGCUUAACCGGGGAACUGCGUCUGAUACUGGAUGGCUUGAGUUUGGGAGAGGGAUGCGGAAUUCCAGGUGUAGCGGUGAAAUGCGUAGAUAUCUGGAGGAACACCGGUGGCGAAGGCGGCAUCCUGGACCAACACUGACGCUGAGUGAGCGAAAGCCAGGGGAGCAAACGGGAUUAGAUACCCCGGUAGUCCUGGCCCUAAACGAUGAAUGCUUGGUGUGGCGGGUAUCGAUCCCUGCCGUGCCGAAGCUAACGCAUUAAGCAUUCCGCCUGGGGAGUACGGUCGCAAGGCUG
RNAcentral lists this ribosomal RNA (848 nucleotides) under uncultured Pseudomonadota bacterium. Its description in RNAcentral is "bacterial SSU rRNA". It matches the Rfam family "Bacterial small subunit ribosomal RNA", at positions 71 to 896 of the family's 1533-position model. The record is from RNAcentral. Lineage: Bacteria; Pseudomonadati; Pseudomonadota.